GCGGGAGUAGCUCAGUGGUAGAGCACAACCUUGCCAAGGUUGGGGUCGCGAGUUCGAGCCUCGUUUCCCGCUCCA
This 75-nucleotide transfer RNA is filed under the name Gammaproteobacteria bacterium. RNAcentral's name for it is "tRNA-Gly". It matches the Rfam family "tRNA". From Rfam's summary of the family: Transfer RNA (tRNA) molecules are approximately 80 nucleotides in length. Their secondary structure includes four short double-helical elements and three loops (D, anti-codon, and T loops). Further hydrogen bonds mediate the characteristic L-shaped molecular structure. tRNAs have two regions of fundamental functional importance: the anti-codon, which is responsible for specific mRNA codon recognition, and the 3' end, to which the tRNAs corresponding amino acid is attached (by aminoacyl-tRNA synthetases). tRNAs cope with the degeneracy of the genetic code in two manners: having more than one tRNA (with a specific anti-codon) for a particular amino acid; and 'wobble' base-pairing, i.e. permitting non-standard base-pairing at the 3rd anti-codon position. The record is from RNAcentral. Lineage: Bacteria; Pseudomonadati; Pseudomonadota; Gammaproteobacteria. RNAcentral also lists the same sequence under 1 other name.